GCGGAAGUACCCAAGUGGCCGAAGGGGCUCCCCUGCUAAGGGAGUAGACUGGAUAAAACCGGUGCGAGGGUUCAAAUCCCUCCUUCCGCGCCA
Molecule: transfer RNA, 93 nt
Filed under: Oscillibacter sp.
Lineage: Bacteria; Bacillati; Bacillota; Clostridia; Eubacteriales; Oscillospiraceae
Description: tRNA-Ser
Rfam family: tRNA
About the family: Transfer RNA (tRNA) molecules are approximately 80 nucleotides in length. Their secondary structure includes four short double-helical elements and three loops (D, anti-codon, and T loops).
Source: RNAcentral